AAUAGAUACCCAGGUAGUCCACGCCGUAAACGAUGAGUGCUAAGUGUUGGGGGGUUUCCGCCCCUCAGGUGCUGCAGCUAACGCAUUAAGCACUCCGCCUGGGGAGUACGGUCGCAAGACUGAAACUCAAAGGAAUUGACGGGGGCCCGCACAAGCGGUGGAGCAUGUGGUUUAAUUCGAAGCAACGCGAAGAACCUUACCAGGUCUUGACAUCCCGGUGACCACUAUGGAGACAUAGUUUCCCCGUUCGGGGGCAACGGUGACAGGUGGUGCAUGGUUGUCGUCAGCUCGUGUCGUGAGAUGUUGGGUUAACGUCCCGCAGCGAGCGCAACCCUUAUUCUUAGUUGCCAUCAUUCAGUUGGGCACUCUAAGGAGACUGCCGGUGAUAAACCGGAGGAGGGUGGGGAUGACGUCAAAUCAUCAUGCCCCUUAUGACCUGGGCUACACACGUGCUACAAUGGACGGUACAAACGGUUGCCAACCCGCGAGGGGGAGCUAAUCCGAUAAAACCGUUCUCAGUUCGGAUUGUAGGCUGCAACUCGCCUACU
RNAcentral lists this ribosomal RNA (548 nucleotides) under uncultured bacterium. Its description in RNAcentral is "bacterial SSU rRNA". It matches the Rfam family "Bacterial small subunit ribosomal RNA", at positions 777 to 1320 of the family's 1533-position model. The record is from RNAcentral.